Non-coding RNA from Pseudonaja textilis, 272 nucleotides. The record is from RefSeq and is a predicted model, not a curated record. Lineage: Eukaryota; Metazoa; Chordata; Lepidosauria; Squamata; Elapidae.
AGCCCUCCCGAUCUCCAUUUUCUCUGGCAGAGAGUUGCAGGAUGCCGUCGCAGCGGAAAACGGAGCUCGCGAGAACUGUGGGCUCCGUUUACACUGGCAGAGUGUUGCAGGAAGCCGUCACAGCCGAAAAUGGAGCUCGGGAGCCUGCGUUUGCUGACGGAGUGCUCAGUCCAUCCCUGACACGAGUGAGAUUUAACUCUCUUCACAGAUGCUCUGCAGUAGACCAUCCUGAGGAGGAGCGUUCUGUCCUGCGUUCUGUCCUAGGCUUCACC